AAGCUCUCGAAUCCGCCUGGUGAUUGGGGUGACCGCAGUCGUGGCCUGGGACCCCAGAUACUUGAGUUUUCGGGGGUUUAACAAUACUGAGUGGCUGAUCUCCACCAUGUGGGUUUAUAUAAGUCCACACUAGGUCAGUCACACUCGGAGGAAGUCCCCUUAAUGCCAUGUCUUUCGGAACAUGCCCUUACUCUUCAGCUUGCAUGGCUGUGUGCCAUAAAACAAAGACUUUGGGAUUUUCCUGGGCUCUUACCUGGUCUAAGGUGGAGAAGUGUCUGUGAAUUUCCCACUGUGUUGGGUGAAGAGGACUGUGCCCUUCGUAUGCUUCUGGUGUCCUUUUCACCGCCUGGUUCCUGCAUAUUUCACCACUGGUUUUUCUCGUCACUGACUUGGGUAGAACCUGAUCUCUGCUUCAGAGCUGUGAUACUCUCACUCCUUGUGGAUUGCUGCAAUGUCUCGAUAGCUCCUCCACCUCUACGCUCAAGAGCGCCCAUCAUUGCUUUGCUCUGUUUCUGGAGUAAGAUGCAGGAGGAGUAGAGAAUAUUCCAGAUGCUGGAACAGAGGCAUGGAGAGACAUCAUGUCUUGGGCUGGGUUUCCCAAGAGUCGGACAUUAAAAGGAGUCUGAGAAGGGAAGAGCUGCUCUGUGGAGGUCUCCCAGGUCAAAAGGGCUCGGUCACUGAGGAGCAAGCUGGGGCUGCUGCUGAAUGUGCCUUGGAGUUUUGGAACGAGAACAAUAAAAAUAAGCGUGUUAUGCCG
Molecule: non-coding RNA, 757 nt
Organism: Cricetulus griseus (Chinese hamster)
Lineage: Eukaryota; Metazoa; Chordata; Mammalia; Rodentia; Cricetidae
Source: RefSeq, a predicted model, not a curated record